This 168-nucleotide ribosomal RNA is filed under the name Antennarius striatus (striated frogfish). Its description in RNAcentral is "partial 12S rRNA". RNAcentral also lists the same sequence under 1 other name. Lineage: Eukaryota; Metazoa; Chordata; Actinopteri; Lophiiformes; Antennariidae. The record is from RNAcentral.
CACCGCGGUUAUACGAGUGAGCCCAAGUUGAUAAAACCGGCGUAAAGGGUGGUUAAGAAAAUUACUAAAUAAAGCCGAAAGUUUUAGUAGUUGUUAAAUGCUUGCAAGAAUAAGAAGCCCAAAUACGAAAGUAGCUUUAUAACUUCUGACCCCACGAAAACUAGGGCA